CCAUGCUAACCGGGGAGACAGCGGCACCUUGUAACCUGAAAUCCGCUAUAGCAGGGGGUAAUUCCUUCGAUGAGGAAUACAAAUGUGUAGCUGCUCUUAUUUAAGGGCGUUGACGAAUGGGUCUUGCGCAAUUGAAUCCUGUGAAUCAUGUCAGGUGGGGAACCAAGCAGCAUUAAGCAGUUCGUUCAAUGUGCCGCAAGGUCGCCUGUUCUGAGUCUGGAGAUAGGAUAACGGACAUGUUUGUAUAUUCGAGUCAAGGUGCAUGG
Molecule: signal recognition particle RNA, 266 nt
Filed under: Oscillospiraceae bacterium
Lineage: Bacteria; Bacillati; Bacillota; Clostridia; Eubacteriales; Oscillospiraceae
Description: signal recognition particle sRNA large type
Rfam family: Bacterial large signal recognition particle RNA
About the family: The signal recognition particle (SRP) is a universally conserved ribonucleoprotein involved in the co-translational targeting of proteins to membranes. Archaeal SRP consists of a 7S RNA and homologues of the eukaryotic SRP19 and SRP54 proteins. In most bacteria, the SRP consists of a 4.5S RNA and the Ffh protein (a homologue of the eukaryotic SRP54 protein).
Source: RNAcentral